UACGUAGGGUGCUAGCGUUGUUCGGAUUUCUUGGGCGUAAAGCGCGUGUAGGCGGCCAGGUAGGUCUGCUGUGAAAACUCGAGGCUCAACCUCGAGACGUCGGCGGAAACCAUCUGGCUAGAGUCCGGAAGAGGAGAGUGGAAUUCCUGGUGUAGCGGUGAAAUGCGCAGAUAUCAGGAAGAACACCAGUGGCGAAGGCGGCUCUCUGGGACGGUACUGACGCUGAGACGCGAAAGCGUGGGGAGCGAACAGG
Molecule: ribosomal RNA, 253 nt
Filed under: uncultured bacterium
Lineage: Bacteria
Description: partial 16S ribosomal RNA
Rfam family: Bacterial small subunit ribosomal RNA
Source: RNAcentral